RNAcentral lists this ribosomal RNA (431 nucleotides) under uncultured Alphaproteobacteria bacterium. RNAcentral's name for it is "bacterial SSU rRNA". It matches the Rfam family "Bacterial small subunit ribosomal RNA", at positions 8 to 485 of the family's 1533-position model. The record is from RNAcentral. Lineage: Bacteria; Pseudomonadati; Pseudomonadota; Alphaproteobacteria.
AGAGUUUGAUCAUGGCUCAGAACGAACGCUGGCGGCAUGCCUAACACAUGCAAGUCGAACGAUGCCUUCGGGCAUAGUGGCGCACGGGUGCGUAACGCGUGGGAAUCCGCCCCUGGGUUCGGAAUAACAGCGAGAAAUUGCUGCUAAUACCGGAUGAUGACGAAAGUCCAAAGAUUUAUCGCCCAGGGAUGAGCCCGCGUAGGAUUAGCUAGUUGGUGAGGUAAGAGCUCACCAAGGCGACGAUCCUUAGCUGGUCUGAGAGGAUGAUCAGCCACACUGGGACUGAGACACGGCCCAGACUCCUACGGGAGGCAGCAGUGGGGAAUAUUGGACAAUGGGCGAAAGCCUGAUCCAGCAAUGCCGCGUGAGUGAUGAAGGCCUUAGGGUUGUAAAGCUCUUUUACCCGGGAUGAUAAUGACAGUACCGGGAGA